RNAcentral lists this ribosomal RNA (168 nucleotides) under Listeria monocytogenes. Its description in RNAcentral is "partial 23S ribosomal RNA". It matches the Rfam family "Bacterial large subunit ribosomal RNA", at positions 2759 to 2925 of the family's 2925-position model. RNAcentral also lists the same sequence under 1 other name. The record is from RNAcentral. Lineage: Bacteria; Bacillati; Bacillota; Bacilli; Caryophanales; Listeriaceae.
AGGGAUAAACGCUGAAAGCAUCUAAGCGUGAAGCCCCCCUCAAGAUGAGAUUUCCCAUUUCUUCGGAAAGUAAGAUCCCUGAAAGAUGAUCAGGUAGAUAGGUUUGGAGUGGAAGUGUAGCGAUACAUGGAGCGGACAAAUACUAAUCGAUCGAGGACUUAACCAAAA